Molecule: long non-coding RNA, 821 nt
Filed under: Nicotiana tabacum (common tobacco)
Lineage: Eukaryota; Viridiplantae; Streptophyta; Magnoliopsida; Solanales; Solanaceae
Description: long non-coding RNA (NTAB_LNC019109)
Source: RNAcentral
AAAUUACCAAAUUUAUUGAAACAUAGAACUCUGCAUCUCCUUCGCGCUCUCUCUCUCUCUCUCUCUCUCUCUCUCUCUCACACACACACACACACACACAUACACACACGAACUCCACAUAUUACUUAUAGAAAAUCCAUAAGUAACCGUUGGGCGCUUGCAAUCACUAAAUCUCUCUCUCAUUCCCUGCAGCUUCUCUGAAUCGCACUUUCAGCUUCUCGUUGUUCAGAAGUUUUCCGGAGAGUUGUUGUUGGUAAUUGAUGUUGUUAUUUUGAAUCUACAGCAUUGAUUUUAUCAGUAUUUGAGAUAUCUGUUAAUUACUUGAAAACAUGAAAAUUACUAGAUGCAUUUUGAAGUGAUUGAUGUGUGAAUUAUAGUCAAAUUGAAGUUGUAAUUAACGUAGUCAUAGAAACAUCAAUGCCGAUUUGUAGUGGAAUCCGCAAUCAAUAGCCGAUUUUUACGUGCACUAAACAUGUUUGUAGGUAUGUCCUUAUAACAAAUUCAUGAUUGCUUUAUACCUUGAUAUUCCUAAACUACCAGGUUUGUAAACUUGCGAAUUAAACUGUAAAGUAAUUGUAUGUCAAAAGCUAAAUAUGUUAUUGGCAGAUCUAUUGACAUGUCGAACUCAACGCAUUUGGCUCGAAUAUGAAAUUAAAUGGAGUGUAUAUUUCAGAGUCCACUCUCUUGACUCUAAUUUCAUUAUUCUGAAUUUGAAUUUGCUGCUGCACAUGUUUAUGCUUAUCUCAUAACUAAUGCUUAUGUGCAGGUUGAAAGUUGCUCUGCAUUCUCUUCUAAUGACAUUUUGGUAAUUCCGAGUUGCA